AAGCUUGCUUCUCUGAUGUUAGCGGCGGACGGGUGAGUAACACGUGGAUAACCUACCUAUAAGACUGGGAUAACUUCGGGAAACCGGAGCUAAUACCGGAUAAUAUUUUGAACCGCAUGGUUCAAAAGUGAAAGACGGUCUUGCUGUCACUUAUAGAUGGAUCCGCGCUGCAUUAGCUAGUUGGUAAGGUAACGGCUUACCAAGGCAACGAUGCAUAGCCGACCUGAGAGGGUGAUCGGCCACACUGGAACUGAGACACGGUCCAGACUCCUACGGGAGGCAGCAGUAGGGAAUCUUCCGCAAUGGGCGAAAGCCUGACGGAGCAACGCCGCGUGAGUGAUGAAGGUCUUCGGAUCGUAAAACUCUGUUAUUAGGGAAGAACAUAUGUGUAAGUAACUGUGCACAUCUUGACGGUACCUAAUCAGAAAGCCACGGCUAACUACGUGCCAGCAGCCGCGGUAAUACGUAGGUGGCAAGCGUUAUCCGGAAUUAUUGGGCGUAAAGCGCGCGUAGGCGGUUUUUUAAGUCUGAUGUGAAAGCCCACGGCUCAACCGUGGAGGGUCAUUGGAAACUGGAAAACUUGAGUGCAGAAGAGGAAAGUGGAAUUCCAUGUGUAGCGGUGAAAUGCGCAGAGAUAUGGAGGAACACCAGUGGCGAAGGCGACUUUCUGGUCUGUAACUGACGCUGAUGUGCGAAAGCGUGGGGAUCAAACAGGAUUAGAUACCCUGGUAGUCCACGCCGUAAACGAUGAGUGCUAAGUGUUAAGGGGGUUUCCGCCCCUUAGUGCUGCAGCUAACGCAUUAAGCACUCCGCCUGGGGAGUACGACCGCAAGGUUGAAACUCAAAGGAAUUGACGGGGACCCGCACAAGCGGUGGAGCAUGUGGUUUAAUUCGAAGCAACGCGAAGAACCUUACCAAAUCUUGACAUCCUUUGACAACUCUAGAGAUAGAGCCUUCCCCUUCGGGGGACAAAGUGACAGGUGGUGCAUGGUUGUCGUCAGCUCGUGUCGUGAGAUGUUGGGUUAAGUCCCGCAACGAGCGCAACCCUUAAGCUUAGUUGCCAUCAUUAAGUUGGGCACUCUAAGUUGACUGCCGGUGACAAACCGGAGGAAAGGUGGGGAUGACGUCAAAUCAUCAUGCCCCUUAUGAUUUGG
RNAcentral lists this ribosomal RNA (1154 nucleotides) under uncultured bacterium. RNAcentral describes it as "bacterial SSU rRNA". It matches the Rfam family "Bacterial small subunit ribosomal RNA", at positions 76 to 1212 of the family's 1533-position model. The record is from RNAcentral.